This 477-nucleotide unclassified non-coding RNA is filed under the name Hevea brasiliensis (rubber tree). Lineage: Eukaryota; Viridiplantae; Streptophyta; Magnoliopsida; Malpighiales; Euphorbiaceae. The record is from RNAcentral.
AGAGAGAGAGAGAGAGAGAAACAACAUCCUCACAUAUAAAUUUAUUUUAAGAUUUCCUUAAACAUUCUUCAAGAUUCAAAACAUUAACAGUAAAGAGAAAAAAAAAAUAAGAUUAAUAUUUCAUGUUACUAUGCAAUCAAUCCAUUAGAAGCAACAAGGAGAAACAACCCUCUUACAGACAAAUUUAUAAUUUAUUUAUGAUGAUUUUUCAUUUUUGUUUUAGUCACUGUACUUGUAAUAUUUCUUUAAUUGAGAACUCCGAAUCCCUGAUCAGUGUCAUCAUGCUUUCAUAAUAAAUCUAAAAUGCAUUUUAGAUGUGGCCCAUCACUCCUAAUUAGCAUUCCUGCUUGAGCAUAUAUGUUACUGAAACAACUAUUUGGGUAAAAAAAAAAUUGACAAAUACUUGCAAAUUGAACAUAGAUCAAGAUUUAGGCUGGAAGAAAACGAGAGAAUAUUGAACAACAUGCUAUAAUUACC